Molecule: long non-coding RNA, 447 nt
Organism: Anthonomus grandis grandis
Lineage: Eukaryota; Metazoa; Arthropoda; Insecta; Coleoptera; Curculionidae
Exons: 2
Source: RefSeq, a predicted model, not a curated record
UGUCAUUUGACAUUAGAUAGUAAAAUUAUAUGAUAAAAUUAUUUUAUGAAUUUUUUAGGCAAAAGAUCUAUGAUAUCAGAGAGAGAACAAGAGGAAAAUUCAAAACAAACUCUUAUACUAGCCUUUAUAGUUGUUUGUAUGUUUUUUGUUUUUUGUGGAGUGGUUUGUAUUGUCUGGUUCUUAGCUGAUCCAACGUUACGACAGGAGGAAGAGUAACAGAUAAUAGGAAGUAAUGAUAUUACGAAUGAAUUGAAGAGAAAAACCGAAAAAUACUCGGAAAAUGACUCGCCUAACUAGAAACCUUAUUAUACUAAAUGUCCUUAUGUUGGGAAUUUUUAUAUUGAUGAUUGUUGGAAUAUUUCUUGUUAAAAUGUAUAAAAAAUGUUAAGAAUAUUGAUAUAUUUUUUAUACUUAAUUGACUUUAAUAUAAUUUGUUACUACAUGUAA